RNAcentral lists this ribosomal RNA (225 nucleotides) under uncultured Streptococcaceae bacterium. RNAcentral describes it as "partial 16S ribosomal RNA". It matches the Rfam family "Bacterial small subunit ribosomal RNA", at positions 114 to 334 of the family's 1533-position model. Lineage: Bacteria; Bacillati; Bacillota; Bacilli; Lactobacillales; Streptococcaceae. The record is from RNAcentral.
CGCGUAUGUAACCUACCUCAUAGCGGGGGAUAACUAUUGGAAACGAUAGCUAAUACCGCAUAAGAGAGACUAACGCAUGUUAGUAAUUUAAAAGGGGCAAUUGCUCCACUAUGAGAUGGACCUGCGUUGUAUUAGCUAGUUGGUGAGGUAAAGGCUCACCAAGGCGACGAUACAUAGCCGACCUGAGAGGGUGAUCGGCCACACUGGGACUGAGACACGGCCCAG